Non-coding RNA from Cyanistes caeruleus (blue tit), 3950 nucleotides. Lineage: Eukaryota; Metazoa; Chordata; Aves; Passeriformes; Paridae. The record is from RefSeq and is a predicted model, not a curated record.
CUGAAAAAAGACGUGAAGUUUUAGGUACAGGAGCUACUGUAUUGUAUGUGCUUGAUAGACUUAAUAGCCUGACAUAAUUGUGUUGCACAUUCUGCUUUUCACUCCUGUCUGCAGUUGCAGCCUGGUGCUCUGCCCUGUUUAAAGGGCCUGAUGAAGUGGAAACCAGGAGUUUUGUGUCUGCCCAUCAGACAGGUGCAUGAGCCCUCCACAAUGUGCUGUGACCUGCACAGGAGCUCAUCCCCAGGAGGGGCAUUGCCAUACCUACACCACUCCAAGCCCCGUGGCUUUGCUGUCACAGUGAGUAACCACCUCCCAGCUGGGAGACAAGCACAAAGUACCACAGUCAUAUGUGACACCUGUCAGCAAGGUGCUGUCCCUCUCCCCAUGCCUGCAGCACUGCUCUUCCACCCAGCACCAUGCACUUCCCAGUGGGUUUGCUGGGGUGUUGUUCUGCCCCACGUGCCAUUGACACCUUAGAAAAAUAAGUAAUUUUUGCUCUAUUUGGCUAGUAAGCCUAACAAUACAAAUAUCACCCUUACUAGAUACUUUCUAAUUACUAUCUCUUCUCCCUACUUGUUUUCAUAUUAAAACAAUGAGGUUUGUUCCAAGGAACACUGGCUCUGACCUGAGACAGUCACACUCUCUGUGGCCUAGAUUCUGUUUUAUUUCCUUGCUCAGUGGAUCUCUGCUUUAUUAAUUAGUUGUUAUAAAUCUUGUUCUUUCUAGCCCAUAUUGCACUUAAGAUGCUGUUUUAAAUUCCUUCCUUACUUUCUCCUACUUUGUAUUAACAGCUCUUACCUAUGACAGUGUCAUAUCUGUCAGAGCAGCAGUCCCUAGGAGCUGAUCAAAUGCUGGACCAACCUGUCCAUGAGUUUGUCCUGUCCCAUGCUCCUUAGGGAUAGCAGCAGACAGAUGUGGUACUCCACAUUACCCCAAAACAAUGUCAGGAAUUUCACUUAAACAAAGAACAUGAACUGAUAGUUUAUCAGACCCAUGACAUUAAUUUCUCUGAUAAUUACAGAGAAGGAGCUGCAGACAGUCCUCUAGAGUGUCCAGGUCUGGCUUUCACUCAGGCACAGAAGGACAGAAGAUGCCCCAGAAGAGUUUCCCACAUUCCCACUUUGGGCAAAUAUUGCUGCAGAUCUGCAGAUGAUGAAGCAGAUUAACUGAGGAUCCCUUUCCUUUUAUAAACAAUUAUUUUGUCUGAUUUUUGUCUUCUUCCUUAAGAAAGAAAAUUGAUUGUACACUGAGGACAGCAAAAGUGAUGACUGAGAGGUGUAGCUCUUCCAACUAUUUUCCAGGAGAACCCCCUGUUUCUUCAUAUGUAAUACUCGACAGGUGUACCAGAUAAUUCCAGAAUACUACACAAUGCAUCAGUUUGGAAGAGAUCACAGUGGAUCAUCUGGUCCAACCUCCCUGCUCAAGCAGGGUUGUCCUAGAUCACAUUGCAUCCAGACAGUUCUUGAACAUUUCCAGUGAGAGCGACUCCACAGCUUCUCUAGGUAAUCUGUUCCAGAUUAAAUGAAACUAUUUUAGCUACCAAUUUUUUUUCCUGUUCCCAUCUAUUUCCCUGCUCAGAGCAAGCCAAGGAGCAGGCUUCUCAUCUUCCUACCAUAGUACUUCCUUAUGCUGCAGCUUCCAGUGAUUCCUGGGGAUUAAGUGUGUUGCUUGCCAUCAGGCAAUAUGUACAGCAUUAGGAAUACUUCAGACAAGUGAAGUCACACUAAAUUUGUGAUGGUUCUUUGGCAGCAUCGUAACAUUGCCAUACCUACACCACUCCAUGGCCCUAGCAGAUGUCCUGGAUACAGUUGCUUCUCCAGAAAUAUCAAAUGCAGAAGGAGGUAGUGUGCUUUCCAUAACCCACUCAGACAUCAGGAAACACCUACUCGCAACAGAAUGUGCAAAGGCACAGUCAUUUCCAUCAUCUUUGGUGCCAGCUGAGUCAGAAAACAUACUGCUGACUUUCAUAACUGCAGCUGAAGUGAGAGCUCAGGAAAUGGAGACACUAACAGCAGUAGCUUGAGGGACAGGGCUGUUCAAGCAUCCCAGCACUGCCCUUCUGGAGCAUCAGGCAGUGCCUUACAGCAAACCCCACAAACUCCUGGGGCUUCUUUGGGGCCAGAACACUGGCAGCACACCAAUAUGCCGGCCUUGCAAGUCCAAAUGGGAUGGAGAAUUUGUCUCAUACUCAGAAUAUGUAAAAAUUUUCAUACUCAGACUAAGCCUGGGCUAGCAAUCCUUGUCAAAGAUGAAACAGGCAUUUCUGAGACUGUGGACAAUGGACUUUUGCCUGAGUGGGCAUGUUUAGGAAAUGUGCUUCAAGUGAUGUCUCAAUGCUGGGAAAGUACACUGGGAUGGGUACAGAGUGAGCUUGCAGUCCUGAGGGCUAGCACACAUCAUUGCCCAGAAGAGCAGCCGGGGUAUCUUAGGCCGAAAGAAUGGGGGCCACUCAGUCAUGUGAAGGGAACAAGGUGAUACGAGCAGAUCAGCUUUGAUACAGUGUGAAAUCCCUCCUCGCCCUGCUUUAACCAAACUGUAGAUGGCCUUUAGUUCCUAUGCUCCAUGAUAAGGAAAACAGCUUUCCAGAUACAACCCCUUUGUCUCUUUCAAAAACCACCAACAACAAAAUCCCCUUUUUCAAACAGCUUUUAGCUAUCCACUAGCCAAGAGAGAGUUAAAAACCCUGGGAGCACGACAGGGAAGAGCUGCACAUCCUCUCUUCGGUGGUUUGGGCAGGAAGUAUAAUAGAAGGCUCAAUCAUUUCUUUAAAAACAUGACAGGAAACUUUCAUUUUCAUAUCCCAUUCACAGAUAAUGAAAAUGUACCAAAGAGAAGGAAAAUCUGACAGCAUUAAUGAGAGGACAUUCUUGAAAAUCAGAAACAAUGGGAAGGAAUGGGCAGAGAGACAGAAAUAAUUAUCAUAGCAGCAGUGUUUGCUGCACUGUUAUUAAGGUUUGUCAGAGUUUCAAUGAUUUUCUAAGUGCUUUUUUAUUUUCUACAGAAUAUGUAAAAAUGUUCUGUUUUGAACUUUUGUACAAAAGAGUUUAGUUGUAAUAUUUUAAAAUAAUUUUGGAGAAAAUGUUUCAGAUUCUGAUUUUACCUGUCUAAAUCUUAACUCUGGCUUUUUAUACUUUUUUUUUUUUUUUUUUUUAAAUCAGAAAUGUGGUACUCACCCAGCUGUAUUUAAAAGCCAACAGUUUUUUUUUAGAGGUGCAUUUUUAUCUAGCUGUAGAAACUAUUAUGCUAAAUUCAGGUUGGGUAGUGAGAAAUGUGGUCGUGUGGACUGUGCUGAGCAAAGCUUGGUGAGCAAUAGCUCUGAAGGCCAUGAAAGAAGAUGCUGAGUUACAAUAACCUGCAAAGCAACGAAAUGCACUGACUAUGGUGGGACAUGAAAGAAACCCAGGACUUCUUGGUUCUGUUGCCAACUUAAGGUACGUAUGGCCUUGGGCAAAUCACUUACCACUGCUCAGUUUACCUCCUUAGAAGAUACAAAAUUAUCUCACCCUCUGAGCUGUGCUGAACUGCAAUCACUAUCUGUAAUAUGGAGGUGCCCAGUAGUGACAAAGCACAAAAUAACAACAAUUUAUAGUAAGAAAAUAAGUUAGUAUAAAAAAAUCUCUUAAUGCCUGGGUUCUCUGCUAAACAAGUUCCCAGGUUUUUGGUGUGUGCGCUGGGCAUCUCUGAGGAGUAAAUCUCCAGUCUGACCCUUUUGAGACUGGUGGGCUUGGGAGAAAUGGGGCAUUUUUAGGACAGUCUGAUGGGAGGAAAGCCAGGCAGAAGGAAAAGUUGCCACAAGGUACUGCUGAGUGGAGGGAUAAUAAGGACUUGAAAUGGAAAUACUCUUUUUGUGCCUGAAAUGGAAGUAGAUGGCAGGGGGAAGAAGAGUAAGGCAACAAAACUGGAAUGUGAAAAACAAGAACUACUGCUUUAUGUCAACAGAGAAAAAAGAG